UGUCUCCCAGCAACAAGAGGGACAACUCACCUCCCCCAGAAGCCCACACGUUUCAGGUCCUGGCAGAGAAUCAGACAACCAGAUCAGCAGCAGCUUCAAAGCCACCAGCAUCAGACUGCUCAUACUGUGGCAGAAGCUUCACCAGUUCCUGCAGUGGCACUUAACAGCCAGAGUGGGCUCAAAAAGAAAGCUCAGAAGAUCACCCCAGAUAUGAAGGCCUGCAGGAUAUUACAGAUUCAUUUGUUGACCUAAGCAGCAUUUUUAUGUCAUUGUGAAUCUUCACAAGCCAAAUUAAGAGAUUCUGGGACAAAGCAUUUGAUUAAAAAUUACUUGCAUUAUGUUUCCUCUGUUA
Long non-coding RNA from Pseudopipra pipra, 352 nucleotides. RefSeq lists it as uncharacterized. The transcript has 2 exons. The record is from RefSeq and is a predicted model, not a curated record. NCBI's taxonomy places the organism in Eukaryota, Metazoa, Chordata, Aves, Passeriformes, Pipridae.